This 735-nucleotide ribosomal RNA is filed under the name uncultured Corynebacterium sp. Its description in RNAcentral is "bacterial SSU rRNA". It matches the Rfam family "Bacterial small subunit ribosomal RNA", at positions 28 to 776 of the family's 1533-position model. The record is from RNAcentral. Lineage: Bacteria; Bacillati; Actinomycetota; Actinomycetes; Mycobacteriales; Corynebacteriaceae.
GACGAACGCUGGCGGCGUGCUUAACACAUGCAAGUCGAACGGUAAGGCUCCAGCUUGCUGGGGUACACGAGUGGCGAACGGGUGAGUAACACGUGGGUGACCUGCCCUGCACUUCGGGAUAAGCCUGGGAAACUGGGUCUAAUACCGGAUAGGACCGCGCCGUGAGGGUGUGGUGGAAAGUUUUUUCGGUGUGGGAUGGGCCCGCGGCCUAUCAGCUUGUUGGUGGGGUAAUGGCCUACCAAGGCGGCGACGGGUAGCCGGCCUGAGAGGGUGGACGGCCACAUUGGGACUGAGACACGGCCCAGACUCCUACGGGAGGCAGCAGUGGGGAAUAUUGCACAAUGGGCGGAAGCCUGAUGCAGCGACGCCGCGUGGGGGAUGACGGCCUUCGGGUUGUAAACUCCUUUCACCAUCGACGAAGGGUUUCUGACGGUAGAUGGAGAAGAAGCACCGGCUAACUACGUGCCAGCAGCCGCGGUAAUACGUAGGGUGCGAGCGUUGUCCGGAAUUACUGGGCGUAAAGAGCUCGUAGGUGGUUUGUCGCGUCGUCUGUGAAAUUCCGGGGCUUAACUCCGGGCGUGCAGGCGAUACGGGCAUAACUUGAGUACUGUAGGGGAGACUGGAAUUCCUGGUGUAGCGGUGAAAUGCGCAGAUAUCAGGAGGAACACCGGUGGCGAAGGCGGGUCUCUGGGCAGUAACUGACGCUGAGGAGCGAAAGCAUGGGGAGCGAACAGG